UUUACGACCAGAGAAAAAUCGACGAGAACGAGAACAACGGAGUCCUGAAGAAAUUCUGCCCCCACCACCUGGUUAACAGCGAGUCCAAAGCCAACAUCACCUGCUUGGUCUACAGCCACGACGGCUCAGAGCUGCUGGCCUCGUACAACGAUGAGGACAUUUACCUGUUCGACUCCUCCCACAGCGACGGGGCCCAGUACAGCAAACGCUACAAAGGGCACAGGAACAACGCCACAGGUGA
Molecule: long non-coding RNA, 241 nt
Organism: Malurus melanocephalus (red-backed fairy wren)
Lineage: Eukaryota; Metazoa; Chordata; Aves; Passeriformes; Maluridae
Exons: 3
Source: RefSeq, a predicted model, not a curated record